GAUGAACGCUGGCGGCGUGCCUAGUACAUGCAAGUCGAGCGAACAGAUAAGGAGCUUGCUCCUUUGACGUUAGCGGCGGACGGGUGAGUAACACGUGGGUAACCUACCUAUAAGACUGGGAUAACUUCGGGAAACCGGAGCUAAUACCGGAUAACAUUUGGAACCGCAUGGUUCUAAAGUGAAAGAUGGUUUUGCUAUCACUUAUAGAUGGACCCGCGCCGUAUUAGCUAGUUGGUAAGGUAACGGCUUACCAAGGCGACGAUACGUAGCCGACCUGAGAGGGUGAUCGGCCACACUGGAACUGAGACACGGUCCAGACUCCUACGGGAGGCAGCAGUAGGGAAUCUUCCGCAAUGGGCGAAAGCCUGACGGAGCAACGCCGCGUGAGUGAUGAAGGGUUUCGGCUCGUAAAACUCUGUUAUUAGGGAAGAACAAACGUGUAAGUAACUGUGCACGUCUUGACGGUACCUAAUCAGAAAGCCACGGCUAACUACGUGCCAGCAGCCGCGGUAAUACGUAGGUGGCAAGCGUUAUCCGGAAUUAUUGGGCGUAAAGCGCGCGUAGGCGGUUUCUUAAGUCUGAUGUGAAAGCCCACGGCUCAACCGUGGAGGGUCAUUGGAAACUGGGAAACUUGAGUGCACAAGAGGAAAGUGGAAUUCCAUGUGUAGCGGUGAAAUGCGCAGAGAUAUGGAGGAACACCAGUGGCGAAGGCGACUUUCUGGUCUGUAACUGACGCUGAUGUGCGAAAGCGUGGGGAUCAAACAGGAUUAGAUACCCUGGUAGUCCACGCCGUAAACGAUGAGUGCUAAGUGUUAGGGGGUUUCCGCCCCUUAGUGCUGCAGCUAACGCAUUAAGCACUCCGCCUGGGGAGUACGACCGCAAGGUUGAAACUCAAAGGAAUUGACGGGGACCCGCACAAGCGGUGGAGCAUGUGGUUUAAUUCGAAGCAACGCGAAGAACCUUACCAAAUCUUGACAUCCGUUGAAAACUCUAGAGAUAGAGCCUUCCCCUUCGGGGGACAAAGUGACAGGUGGUGCAUGGUUGUCGUCAGCUCGUGUCGUGAGAUGUUGGGUUAAGUCCCGCAACGAGCGCAACCCUUAAGCUUAGUUGCCAUCAUGAAGUUUGAGCACUCUAAGUUGACUGCCGGUGACAAACCGGAGGAAGGUGGGGAUGACUUAAAUCAUCAUGCUCCUGACGAAUGGGCUGAACAGGCCUGGAAGGGAAAAGUGAAAGGCGGCUGUCCGCGAGGUCAUGCAAAAGCCGUUAAGUUGUU
RNAcentral lists this ribosomal RNA (1273 nucleotides) under uncultured bacterium. RNAcentral describes it as "bacterial SSU rRNA". It matches the Rfam family "Bacterial small subunit ribosomal RNA", at positions 28 to 1286 of the family's 1533-position model. The record is from RNAcentral.